This 684-nucleotide long non-coding RNA is filed under the name Zostera marina. RNAcentral describes it as "long non-coding RNA (ZMAR_LNC000254)". The record is from RNAcentral. Lineage: Eukaryota; Viridiplantae; Streptophyta; Magnoliopsida; Alismatales; Zosteraceae.
UAUGAAAAAAUGGUUUUCUAACGACUUGCGAUCCUCCUAGCAGGGAUGAAUCAACUACAAAAAAUGGUUAGGUCAGGUAGAUUCUCUUAGAAAACCCUUUUUUAAUGAUGGUCCUAUUGCAGAGAACAAUGGAGUAUUGACUAAUCAAUAAGUCGUCGACGACGAUAAUUAUCCACUCUGAAAUUUUUGGGGGGAAGUACUCAGGACAUUGAGGAGGAACUAUUGUACGUCGAAGAGGUCUGUGGAUGAAUCCAGCAGAAAUUCCGACAAUGGUUUGUCUUCUCCUGCGAUCAUCGAACUGAUCAAACUCUUGAGAGACAAUAUUAUUCAAGUGGAUGGGGAGGAUUAGACGUUGGUUGGAUCGUCUCCACUUAAUUUCUACGGAGAAAAGAGAAGGAGGUAAGACAUCGAAAGGAGGUCGCAAGGAUCGUCAGAAAGCUCGAACUUGAAGAACAAAAGAUUCAGGCCAAUAGGACACCACAAGUAGAACGAAAUGGCAUGUUUGUAAAUUAAUUUAUUUUCCAAGGUUUAAGAUGGAGGGAGGGAAAACAGUAGAUUGAUCUUUUUCUUAUUAAAAUGACAAUUCAUUUUGAAUUUGAGGUAAAAUGAUAUGUACAUGUCAUUUUGUUCUUAUUCAUUUUGUCAAUACUUCCAAGAUUGACUGACUGUUUGUUUCAAAAAAGA